This 70-nucleotide transfer RNA is filed under the name Cryptomonas curvata. The record is from RNAcentral. Lineage: Eukaryota; Cryptophyceae; Cryptomonadales; Cryptomonadaceae.
UCCGAAAAAAAAAAAAAAAAGCUUCAAUAAUAGAGAUUACAACCUUGAUAGUAUAUUUCAAUUUAAUAAA